RNAcentral lists this ribosomal RNA (1002 nucleotides) under uncultured Neocallimastigales. Its description in RNAcentral is "partial large subunit ribosomal RNA". The record is from RNAcentral. Lineage: Eukaryota; Fungi; Neocallimastigomycota; Neocallimastigomycetes; Neocallimastigales.
UACGACUACAUAUCAGGCAUAUCAAUAAGCGGAGGAAAAGCCGCACGGAAAAGCGGAAAUGAUAAGGAUUGUGAUGCAGAUGAUGGCAGAAGUCACCAUAUCCGGCAGCGGUGGACGCGCUGACAACGGCAAUGCGCUGUGUCAGCCGCGGAAGGGGAAGGCUCUGGUUGUCAUGCAGGAUGCCGUCCUCGUCGAGCCGUCUCAGGAUUUCCCUUCGCUGCUGCGCCAGGCUUCCCAGGGUGUAGGAAGCGUCAAUGUCCGUGAUGUUGAGGGAAUAGCCGUAGGCCUCGUGGAAGGUGAGCUGCACCUGGAGCAACACUCGCAGCCCGGCCCGCAGUUCCUGUUCGCUCUCCUGCAUGAAGCGCAGACGCAGGAUGUUAUACUGCCGCGCCCCAGCAAUGGACUCGCGCCCGUGCCAGCACGUUGCGCCCAUCAUCGUCCUUUUCUAUGAUUUCGCCAUAGAAAUGGCCGUUGCCAGCCUGCCGUGCCUCGCUCAGUUCGCCCACAACCCACAACGUGUCGGGGAAGGUCUGUUCCACGGCAUCGCGCACCAGGGCAUUGAGUUGGUAAAGGGAAAGGGGUUGCAUAAACAGAUAAAAAAAAGUGAAACUGCAGACAAGGCCAAUGCUCACGCACAAACACAAGACUGCAGUUUCGAAUGUUUAACUAAAAUACUAUUACAUGAAAAAUAGUUUUCUUCUACAAAAAUUAUCCGAGGAAGCUGAGCAGGAUACCUGCAGCCACCGCAGAACCAAUCACGCCGGCCACAUUGGGACCCAUGGCGUGCAUAAGCAGGAAGUUGCGGGGAUCGGCCUUCUGACCCUCUACCUGGCUUACGCGAGCGGCCAUAGGCACGGCGCUCACACCGGCAGAACCAAUCAGCGGAUUGAUCUUCUCCUUCAGGAACAGGUUCAUGAACUUGGCCAGCAGCACACCACCGGCAGAACCUACGCCAAAGGCUACGAUACCUACGCUUAGGAUGUUGAUCUCUCACAGUCGAGC